Molecule: ribosomal RNA, 292 nt
Filed under: uncultured Verrucomicrobiota bacterium
Lineage: Bacteria; Pseudomonadati; Verrucomicrobiota
Description: uncultured Verrucomicrobia bacterium partial 16S ribosomal RNA
Source: RNAcentral
GGACUACUAGGGUAUCUAAUCCCUUUUGCUCCCCACGCUUUCGUGCCUGAGCGUCAGUAACUGUCCAGGAAACCGCCUUCGCCUCUGGUGUUCCUCACGAUAUCUACGCAUUUCACUGCUACACCGUGAAUUCCGUUUCCCUCUCCAGUACUCUAGCCGUGUAGUUUGAGGUGCAAUUCCGAUGUUAAGCAUCGGGCUUUCACGCCUCACACACGCGGCCGCCUGCGCACCCUUUACGCCCAGUGAAUCCGAAUAACGCUUGCAGUCUCUGUAUUACCGCGGCUGCUGGCAC